CUUAGGGCUGCAGGCAGCUCCGAGGCGGCAGCAGGAGAACAGAAUCUCUGGAUGGACCUUUCCUGGGAAGUUUUGCUAAUUUGCAGCAGCUGGACAAUGUUCCUCAUUAACAUCUGUUUGUCAGCGUAAUUGUCACAUAAUUUCACUGUGGUGGCAGGGAUUCAGCUCAGAAUUCUCUAUAGAAAACACCUGGAUCCUAGUCUUUCAAUGGCUUCCAGACAACCAGAAAUACCUGCUCUUCAGCCCAGUGGGCCUCUAGGCAAGAAGUCCCUGCCCAUCGGGAUAUACCGCCGGGCAUUGAGCUAGGAUGAUGCCCUGGAGGACCCUACGCCCAUGACUCCUCCUCCAUCCGACAUGGGCAGCAUCCCCUGGAAGCCAGUGAUUCCUCGCCAAGGUGGAGGAAGGAGAGGCCAGUGUAUCCUCCCCUGCUAUGACUCUGUCAUCAGCCAUUGACAGUACGGAUAAGAUCCCAGUGGUGAAGGCUAAAGCUACCCAUGUCAUCAUGAAUUCUUUGAUCACAAAACAGACCCAGGAGAGCAUUCAGCGUUUUGAACAACAGGCAGGGCUGAGAGAUGCUGGCUACACACCCCACAAAGGCCUUACCACUGAGGAGAGCAAAUACCUUGGAGUGGCAGAAGCACUCCACAAACUAAAGCUACAGAGUGGAGAAAUAACAAGAGAAGAGAAGCAGCCUGUGUCAGCCCCAUCCACCCGAAGCAGCACCCCUCAUUCUUCACCCAAGCAUAGGCCCAGAGGCUGGUUCACUUCUGGUUCUUCCACAGCUUUACCUGGCCCAAAUCCUAGCACCAUGGAUUCUGGAAGUGAGGAUAAGGACAGAAACCCAUCAGAUAAAUGGAGCUUCUUUGGACCAAGAUCCCUCCAGAAGUACGAUUCAGGAAGUUUUGCCACCCAGGCCUACCAAGGAGCCCAGAAACCCUCUGCAAUGGAAUUGAUCCGAGCACAGGCCACUAGGAUAGCUGAAGAUCCAGCAACCUUCAAGCCACCCAAGAUGGACAUCCCAGUGCUGGAAGGGAUGAAACAACCCCCACGGACCCAUAAUCUCAAACCCCGUGACUUGAAAGUGCUCACACCCACAGGCUUCUAAAGCUCUUUCUGUUCCAGGGAUUCUAGAGCCCCUCUUCCCUUUUACCUUGGCUCUGACAUAGGAAAGGUAUAUUUAAAAAAAAAAAAAAAUCUCUUAAACUGAGGCUACACCUGAAGACAUAAUUGGUUUUUGAGAAACAGUAGUGAGGAGUUUGCCCUUGCUGUGUGGAAGAAGCCAUUUUGUACUGCUUUAAAGUUAGGUUAAAUCUCAGCACUUGUGCAUGGGGACUUCAUGAUCUAUUUUUGUAUUAUUUACCCUAGAUAAGACUGUGAUUGUUGCUUCCUGAGAUAGUGUUUGGGCUGCUCUAAAAACACAGGCUUCU
This is an RNA transcript of Nycticebus coucang (slow loris), 1427 nucleotides long. It is a transcript of the gene named putative monooxygenase p33MONOX, with no coding region annotated. The record is from RefSeq and is a predicted model, not a curated record. NCBI's taxonomy places the organism in Eukaryota, Metazoa, Chordata, Mammalia, Primates, Lorisidae. The transcript has a single exon.